UGAAAAUAUGAGCUUGCCGCAAAUUUGCGACAAAUUGGUCAAAGGUUUGCCACAACUGUUUGCUGGAAGCCUGUUAUUGAACUCAACCUGUAGGAGGUUUGUUUGUUGUUAUUGACUGGAGGGGAAACAGCUGCGGGCAAAGUUCUGACAGAUCGGUUCCCAAGGGAACAAACUUUUCAGGUUUUCGCCGAUGACCCUCUCUGCAGACUGGACAAUAAGUUGCCAUUUGCCCUUGCAGUGGGAUCCAAACCCAACGGUGAUGUAAGAGGCUGCUGAUUAGCUGAUUGCUGACGGGCCUGGAGCUGGUUGCUGACGGGCUGGUCCUGGGGCUGGCUAAGGAUCAAACUCAUCCUCUUCUUCCAACUGACAGUCAGAUUCCAAAUUGACAGAGACAAAAACAAUCCUAAGGCCCUCUGAGUAAAGAUUAUUUUUGCCAUACUGAUUGAGUGUGGUAAGGAGCCACUAUUAGCCGAUAUUUAUUUGUUGUGUCCCUCUCACAAUUUACACAUGGCUGGGGUAGAGUUGGG
Molecule: long non-coding RNA, 527 nt
Filed under: Salmo salar (Atlantic salmon)
Lineage: Eukaryota; Metazoa; Chordata; Actinopteri; Salmoniformes; Salmonidae
Description: lncRNA (ENSSSAG00000085700.1)
Source: RNAcentral